CCCUGGCACAUAGAUCUUAUUAACUUGGGCCUUGGAAUCAGAAUUUGAUUCCCGGUUUUAACCCUUUCUUGCUGUGUGACCUUGGACCGCUUCCAUGCCCCUGUCUUGAGCACCAAAUAUGGAACAAAUUUUCAUACACGAUUUCGUUUAGUCCUCAGAAUAGGGAACUUUUUAUGAUCACGAGUGACAGAAACCCAACCCAAACUGGCUUCAGCAAAUAAGAGAAUCGAAUGGUUCCUGUGGUCAGGAACGUCCUGGGGCACGGCUGGAUCCAGAGGUUCAGAUUAUGCCGAAAGAAAUCAGUUUUUCUCCGUCUCUUGGCUCGAUUUCCUUGCGAGUUGGUUUCAUUCUCCAGACAGGCUCUCUUCAGGAAAAGCAAAUGGUCCCAGUAUCCUGCCAGCUUAGAAAUCCUUCUGGUCCCCGAGGAAGGAGACAUCUUCCUUCACCAAAGUGAGGGAAACAGCCCUGGGACAGUCCUGCUUCGGGCUUCAGGUUGAAUUCAGCUUUGCUCCGUAUGUCACGACGAAUGGCAGAAACCAAGAAGGUCAAGUGGAAAUGCAUGAUUCCUCUCGAGAUCUGUACUCAGAACUGGCACACCAUUCUCCUGGGACUAAGAUGGCUGCCACAGCUCGCAACCAAUCUCCGCCAGUCUCACCCACUCACUCACUGCUGUGUGUUGAUGUGCCUUGAUACUCUGACCUGGUUGUCUGGGACUGAGGGAGCUCCUGGGACGUGGCGCUUUCAUCACGAAAACCGGGAAGUCUAGAUGACAGAUGUACUUCCUCAACUCAGCAGCCAUGGAAAUCACCUCUUAUGUCUCCUGUGUGGAGCCUAAUUGACGGAUGGACCAUGGAUUCAUCCUAACAGCUGAGCCAAAGACCACACUUCCCAGGGGCUGCUCCCAGUUAAUCACCGAAGGAGGCAGGGAUCCCGAGGAGACGUUCCCAGGAGACACAGGGUUCCUCUGGAAGCACAGGGACUUUGGUCAGCCUUCUGGAAUUUCUUAGAAUGAUACUGCAGUCUACAACCACCCAAUUUCCCUCCCUCUCUUCCUUCCUUCCUUCCAGCCUCUUCUGUCUCCCUUUUCACUUUCCCCAAUACAUCUCUUGGAUAUUUCAUCCCACCUUGGCUAUCUCAGAGGACCCCGAGUAAUGUCCCUUCCCAUCACAGAUUUGGAUAAAUCAAAAGGAAGAGAGAGGGAGGGCAGGUAAACAGCAUGAAUAAAGGUGUAGAGGUAGGAAAGUCCAGGCUAUGUUCACACCACAUGGGGAAGUGAGUCUGUCCUAUGAAGGCAUUAAAUCCCCACGCU
This is a long non-coding RNA of Prionailurus viverrinus (fishing cat), 1309 nucleotides long. RefSeq lists it as uncharacterized. NCBI's taxonomy places the organism in Eukaryota, Metazoa, Chordata, Mammalia, Carnivora, Felidae. The transcript has 4 exons. The record is from RefSeq and is a predicted model, not a curated record.